RNAcentral lists this transfer RNA (67 nucleotides) under Marmota monax (woodchuck). RNAcentral describes it as "tRNA.Ala". The record is from RNAcentral. Lineage: Eukaryota; Metazoa; Chordata; Mammalia; Rodentia; Sciuridae.
GGCUGUGGCUCAGUGGUAGAGCGCUUGCCUAGCAUGUGUGAAGCACUGGGUUCGGUUCUCAGCAUCA